GACGAACGCUGGCGGCGUGCUUAACACAUGCAAGUCGAGCGGUAAGGCCCUUUCGGGGGUACACGAGCGGCGAACGGGCGAGUAACACGUGGGUGACCUGCCCUCAGCUCUGGGAUAAGCCUGGGAAACCGGGUCUAAUACUGGAUAUGACUCCAUGACGCAUGUUGUGGGGUGGAAAGCCUUGUGCGGCUGAGGAUGGGCCCGCGGCCUAUCAGCUUGUUGGUGGGGUGAUGGCCUACCAAAGGCGACGACGGGUAGCCGGCCUGAGAGGGCGACCGGCCACACUGGGACUGAGACACGGCCCAGACUCCUACGGGAGGCAGCAGUGGGAAUCUUGCGCAAUGGGCGAAAGCCUGACGCAGCGACGCCGCGUGAGGGACGAAGGUCUU
Molecule: ribosomal RNA, 389 nt
Filed under: uncultured bacterium
Lineage: Bacteria
Description: bacterial SSU rRNA
Rfam family: Bacterial small subunit ribosomal RNA
Source: RNAcentral